This 326-nucleotide long non-coding RNA is filed under the name Capsella rubella. Its description in RNAcentral is "long non-coding RNA (CRUB_LNC002352)". Lineage: Eukaryota; Viridiplantae; Streptophyta; Magnoliopsida; Brassicales; Brassicaceae. The record is from RNAcentral.
AACAUUACAAACAUUUAUUUUUAUUUGAUAAUGUAAUUAUACAUAAAAACGUUUGAAAAAAUUGUAUUACAAACAUUUCAAUUCUUGAGAAAACUAUGACACCAACUACAGAAGCCAAAUUCUUUUUUUUUUUUUUUCAAUACAAGUCACGAUGACUACUGUGCAAAUGAAGACAUCGUCAAACUCAAAUGAAAAUAUAUGUCUCAAAUAAAAAGAAUGAGAUGAGUUUAGGCUGUUUUAGCAAUAAAGGUAAAACAAGAUUAGACAUAAGGUAAGGUCGUUGUUUUGACCCACAUGCUUGUUGAUUUGUUACUAUGUCAACUUAA